This 252-nucleotide ribosomal RNA is filed under the name uncultured bacterium. RNAcentral describes it as "partial 16S ribosomal RNA". It matches the Rfam family "Bacterial small subunit ribosomal RNA", at positions 524 to 776 of the family's 1533-position model. The record is from RNAcentral.
UACGGAGGAUGCGAGCGUUAUCCGGAUUUAUUGGGUUUAAAGGGUGCGUAGGCGGACUGUCAAGUCAGCGGUAAAAUUGAGAGGCUCAACCUCUUCCCGCCGUUGAAACUGGUGGUCUUGAGUGGAUGAGAAGUACGCGGAAUGCGUGGUGUAGCGGUGAAAUGCAUAGAUAUCACGCAGAACUCCGAUUGCGAAGGCAGCAUACCGGCGCCCUACUGACGCUGAGGCACGAAAUCGUGGGUAUCGAACAGG